This is an unclassified non-coding RNA of Cebus imitator (Panamanian white-faced capuchin), 112 nucleotides long. It matches the Rfam family "Y RNA". Rfam says of the family: Y RNAs are components of the Ro ribonucleoprotein particle (Ro RNP), in association with Ro60 and La proteins. The Y RNAs and Ro60 and La proteins are well conserved, but the function of the Ro RNP is not known. NCBI's taxonomy places the organism in Eukaryota, Metazoa, Chordata, Mammalia, Primates, Cebidae. The record is from Ensembl.
GGCUGAGCCAAAGGUUAGGAUUUUUAUCAAUUGAUUGCCGACAGUCAGUUACAGAUCAAACUCCUUGUUCUAUUAUUUCCCUCUUCUCACUAUUCCACUUGAUUAGACUGUU